This 396-nucleotide long non-coding RNA is filed under the name Vulpes vulpes (red fox). RNAcentral describes it as "lncRNA (ENSVVUG00000008598.1)". The record is from RNAcentral. Lineage: Eukaryota; Metazoa; Chordata; Mammalia; Carnivora; Canidae.
AAAAGAAUGACAAGAAUCUACAGUGGAACACUGAGGGAAAAAAUGGCCUGUGUGUGUGGUCAGUGCUUCCUCAUCCUCUAAGGAAAAAUAGCAUAUGUACAUUGAAAUAUUUAACAGAUCUCUCCAUGAGUGGACAGACAGUGAAGCCACAGCCUCAGAGAUGCUACUUGAUUUUUCCUGUCCUGCUCUGAUGGAUCUUGUAAGAAUGGAGCAAAAGCCAAAAAGUCACUUCAAAUAAACUAGGACACAUUCUAAGAUGGUGCACUCUACUAACAAAAGAGGCAUAAAGAAGGGGAUAUCAUACUAGUGGGACUAAUAAUUAGAAUCAUCUUUCUACAAAAAAAAAAAUUGAAAACAGUAGUUAAAGGUACAAAGAAUACAUUUCCUUUGAUCUAC